AGCAGCCGCGGUAAUUCCAGCUCCAAUAGCGUAUAUUAAAGUUGUUGCAGUUAAAAAGCUCGUAGUUGAAUUUCGGGGUUAGCAGGUCGGUCGUGCCAUCGGUAUGAACUGGUCUCGCUGAUCCCUCCCUCUUGACGAACUGUGAUGCCAUUAAUUUGGUGUCGCAGGGAAUCAGGACUGUUACUUUGAAAAAAUUAGAGUGUUUAAAGCAGGCUCACGCUUGAAUACAUUAGCAUGGAAUAAUGAAAUAGGACGUUUGAUCCUAUUUUGUUGGUUUCUAGGAUUGACGUAAUGAUUAAUAGGGAUAGUUGGGGGCAUUAGUAUUCAAUUGUCAGAGGUGAAAUUCUUGGAUUUAUUGAAGACUAACUACUGCGAAAGCAUUUGUCAAGGAUGUUUUCAUUAAUCAAGAACGAAAGUUAGGGGAUCGAAGACGAUCAGAUACCGUCGUAGUCUUAACCAUAAACUAUGCCGACUAGGGAUCGGAUGAUGUAAUUUUUAAUGA
This 502-nucleotide ribosomal RNA is filed under the name uncultured Glomus. RNAcentral's name for it is "SSU rRNA". It matches the Rfam family "Eukaryotic small subunit ribosomal RNA", at positions 569 to 1075 of the family's 1831-position model. The record is from RNAcentral. Lineage: Eukaryota; Fungi; Glomeromycota; Glomeromycetes; Glomerales; Glomeraceae.